CUUCUGCACUGCCAGUCCGGAUGAAGUGUGUUUUCCUCAAACUGAAGGGGCCAGUCCUCAGUGAUGGCCCAGGUCAGCCAUGACUUUCAAACCCAGGAACUCAGGGACACCUGUAGGCGGACAGAAGACUCCUCCCUACCUCCCAUGAAUACCCACUCACCUUUGGGAUAUCUGAGUGGUAAACAGAUGGAUCCCACACAAUUAGGAUUCCCUCGUUGUACAAACUGUCUUUGAGGAAGCGCCCAUCAGUGGUGACCAACUGCAGGAAGAAACAGACAAACUGUCACCCGGAUGCUGACUGCCCCAAACAGAGUAUGAAAAGGAAGCGCUAAGAGGUUACAUAGCGAGCCCAAGAUCACACAGCCAGGAAUGGAUGGAGCCAGGAUGCAAACCAAGGCCUGUCUGAUCUUUUCCCACUGCACCAGACAACCCUCAUUCAAAAUAACAAGGGAUAACAAAAGAAA
This is a long non-coding RNA of Suricata suricatta (meerkat), 464 nucleotides long. RefSeq lists it as uncharacterized. The transcript has 2 exons. The record is from RefSeq and is a predicted model, not a curated record. Lineage: Eukaryota; Metazoa; Chordata; Mammalia; Carnivora; Herpestidae.